Patiria miniata (bat star) is the source of this 236-nucleotide long non-coding RNA. RefSeq lists it as uncharacterized. The record is from RefSeq and is a predicted model, not a curated record. Lineage: Eukaryota; Metazoa; Echinodermata; Asteroidea; Valvatida; Asterinidae. The transcript is spliced from 3 exons.
ACCUAGGCCUAUAGUUUGCGAGUCACCUGAUCUUACACAGCCAUACACAACGCAUCAUGAAAGCAAUGAUUUUCAUCGCAUUUUCGGCAGUUUUCCUUGUAGGACUGGAAAGUUGCUUUGCACUACCAGAGGCGAGAGAGAAGAAAGCCCUAGAAGGGACCUUUCCCCCCUUCCCUGAGGAGUCAUUCAUAGCUGACGAUUUCUUCAUUUGUAACGACGGUGUGACAAUUCCUCCU